AUCUACAGCCAUACCACCCUGAAAGUGCCCAAUCUUGUCUGAUGUUGGAAGUUAAGCAGGGUCAGGCCUCAUUGGUACCUGGAUG
This 85-nucleotide ribosomal RNA is filed under the name Mandrillus leucophaeus (drill). The record is from RNAcentral. Lineage: Eukaryota; Metazoa; Chordata; Mammalia; Primates; Cercopithecidae.